UCUCCUGGAAACGGGUGGUAAUGCCGGAUGCUCCAGUUGAUCGCAUGGUCUUCUGGGAAAGCUUUCGCGGUAUGGGAUGGGGUCGCGUCCUAUCAGCUUGACGGCGGGGUAACGGCCCACCGUGGCUUCGACGGGUAGCCGGCCUGAGAGGGCGACCGGCCACAUUGGGACUGAGAUACGGCCCAGACUCCUACGGGAGGCAGCAGUGGGGAAUAUUGCACAAUGGGCGCAAGCCUGAUGCAGCGACGCCGCGUGAGGGAUGGAGGCCUUCGGGUUGUAAACCUCUUUUAUCGGGGAGCAAGCGAGAGUGAGUUUACCCGUUGAAUAAGCACCGGCUAACUACGUGCCAGCAGCCGCGGUAAUACGUAGGGUGCAAGCGUUAUCCGGAAUUAUUGGGCGUAAAGGGCUCGUAGGCGGUUCGUCGCGUCCGGUGUGAAAGUCCAUCGCUUAACGGUGGAUCCGCGCCGGGUACGGGCGGGCUUGAGUGCGGUAGGGGAGACUGGAAUUCCCGGUGUAACGGUGGAAUGUGUAGAUAUCGGGAAGAACACCAG
This 551-nucleotide ribosomal RNA is filed under the name Bifidobacterium longum subsp. suillum. RNAcentral's name for it is "bacterial SSU rRNA". It matches the Rfam family "Bacterial small subunit ribosomal RNA", at positions 146 to 712 of the family's 1533-position model. Lineage: Bacteria; Bacillati; Actinomycetota; Actinomycetes; Bifidobacteriales; Bifidobacteriaceae. The record is from RNAcentral.